AUUGAACGCUGGCGGCAGGCCUAACACAUGCAAGUCGAACGGUAACAGGAAGCAGCUUGCUGCUUUGCUGACGAGUGGCGGACGGGUGAGUAAUGUCUGGGAAACUCCCUGAUGGAGGGGGUUAACUACUGGAAACGGUAGCUAAUACCGCAUAACGUCGCAAGACCAAAGAGGGGGACCUUCGGGCCUCUUGCCAUCCGCUGUUCCCAGAUGGGAUUAGCUAGUAGGUGGGGUAACGGCUCACCUAGGCGACGAUCCCUAGCUGGUCUGAGAGGAUGACCAGCCACACUGGAACUGAGACACGGUCCAGACUCCUACGGGAGGCAGCAGUGGGGAAUAUUGCACAAUGGGCGCAAGCCUGAUGCAGCCAUGCCGCGUGUAUGAAGAAGGCCUUCGGGUUGUAAAGUACUUUCAGCGGGGAGGAAGGGAGUAAAGUUAAUACCUUUGCUCAUUGACGUUACCCGCAGAAGAAGCACCGGCUAACUCCGUG
RNAcentral lists this ribosomal RNA (490 nucleotides) under uncultured bacterium. RNAcentral describes it as "partial 16S ribosomal RNA". It matches the Rfam family "Bacterial small subunit ribosomal RNA", at positions 30 to 507 of the family's 1533-position model. The record is from RNAcentral.